CCUACGGGAGACAGCAGUGGGGGAUAUUGGACAAUGGGGGGAACCCUGAUCCAGCGACGCCGCGUGAGUUAAGAAGUAUCUCGGUAUGUAAAGCUCUAUCAGCAGGGAAGAAGAAAUGACGGUACCUGAGUAAGAAGCCCCGGCUAACUACGUGCCAGCAGCCGCGGUAAUACGUAGGGGGCAAGCGUUAUCCGGAAUUACUGGGUGUAAAGGGAGCGUAGACGGUGAUGUAAGUCUGGAGUGAAAGGCGGGGGCCCAACCCCCGGACUGCUCUGGAAACUAUGUGACUGGAGUGCAGGAGAGGUGAGCAGAAUGCGUGGGGUAGCGGGGAAAUGCGUAGAUAGUAGGAGGAACACCAGUGGGGAGGGCGGCUGACUGGACUGUAACUGACGUUGAGGCUCGAAAGCGUGGGGAGCAAACAGGAUUAGAUACCCGGGUAGUC
Molecule: ribosomal RNA, 442 nt
Filed under: uncultured bacterium
Lineage: Bacteria
Description: partial 16S ribosomal RNA
Rfam family: Bacterial small subunit ribosomal RNA
Source: RNAcentral